This is a long non-coding RNA of Rhododendron vialii, 619 nucleotides long. RefSeq lists it as uncharacterized. NCBI's taxonomy places the organism in Eukaryota, Viridiplantae, Streptophyta, Magnoliopsida, Ericales, Ericaceae. The transcript has 3 exons. The record is from RefSeq and is a predicted model, not a curated record.
AGCAAGUUGAAGAUCAGUAUGGUUGGGUUGUGUGUAAUCAAUGCGGACAAGAAUAUGUCCAAACCGUAACCAGGUAUUCAUUUUUAUAAUGAGUACUACAACUUAGAUGUAACACAUCCAAAGCGGUUGAAUUAUUCGCAUGCAUCUUAGAUAUAAUGUAAAGAUGGCCGUGAAAGACUCCACUGGCUCAAUGGAGCUCUUGCUAAAGGAUACGAAGGCAGAAUUUAUCUUACAAUGUGUCGCAUCCAAUCUGAAGAAAUUAAUGUUAAAAGAUAAUGGGGUGCAAAUGUUCACAGACUAUGUUUCUCAAUAUUAUGGACGCUCAUACGUGUUUAUUAUUGUUGCUCCAAAGGCUGCGUGUCUUGACCAUUGUGUCUCUGUUGUGACUUUCGUAUUAAAAGUUGAUUCGUGAGAAGGAUGUUUGCACAUUUUCAAAGGAAUGUCGAGGACUGACAAAGGAACAAUGGGGUCGUCAUGAUAAGAGCUUUGUUAAGAUAUUGGGAAUCUCAUAAUGACAUUUUAUUUGUUACGUUAAGUUUUACAAAUAUAUAUUCAGUUUGACUUUAUUUAAUUUUUAUUAUGUGUGUUGGGUGAUUUGUUGAUUUUGGAAAUUUUUGAC